AGUGAACGCUGGCGGUAGGCCUAACACAUGCAAGUCGAACGGCAGCACAGUAAGAGCUUGCUCUUACGGGUGGCGAGUGGCGGACGGGUGAGGAAUACAUCGGAAUCUACUUUUUCGUGGGGGAUAACGUAGGGAAACUUACGCUAAUACCGCAUACGACCUACGGGUGAAAGCAGGGGAUCUUCGGACCUUGCGCGAUUGAAUGAGCCGAUGUCGGAUUAGCUAGUUGGCGGGGUAAAGGCCCACCAAGGUGACGAUCCGUAGCUGGUCUGAGAGGAUGAUCAGCCACACUAGAACUGAGACACGGUCCAGACUCCUACGGGAGGCAGCAGUGGGGAAUAUUGGACAAUGGGCGCAAGCCUGAUCCAGCCAUACCGCGUGGGUGAAGAAGGCCUUCGGGUUGUAAAGCCCUUUUGUUGGGAAAGAAAAGCAGCAGGUUAAUACCCCGCUGUUCUGACGGUACCCAAAGAAUAAGCACCGGCUAACUUCGUG
Molecule: ribosomal RNA, 492 nt
Filed under: uncultured bacterium
Lineage: Bacteria
Description: partial 16S ribosomal RNA
Rfam family: Bacterial small subunit ribosomal RNA
Source: RNAcentral